CGUGUAGGCGGGCUGAUAAGUCGGACGUGAAAUCCCUGAGCUCAACUCAGGAACUGCAUUCGAAACUGUCAGUCUGGAGUAGUGGAGAGGAAAGCAGAAUUCCUGGUGUAGAGGUGAAAUUCGUAGAUAUCAGGAGGAACACCGGUGGCGAAGGCGGCUUUCUGGACACUUACUGACGCUGAGACGCGAAAGCGUGGGGGAGCCAAACA
This 209-nucleotide ribosomal RNA is filed under the name uncultured bacterium. RNAcentral describes it as "partial 16S ribosomal RNA". It matches the Rfam family "Bacterial small subunit ribosomal RNA", at positions 568 to 775 of the family's 1533-position model. The record is from RNAcentral.